ACGGGAAAGUCCACGGUGGGAA
Molecule: non-coding RNA, 22 nt
Filed under: Arabidopsis thaliana (thale cress)
Lineage: Eukaryota; Viridiplantae; Streptophyta; Magnoliopsida; Brassicales; Brassicaceae
Source: RNAcentral